GGAAGGUUAAGGAGCUUUGAGAGGAAGACUUCUGUAGGCAGCCGUGUGCUGUGAGCCCCUCCUCCUGCCUUGUCAAGGGCUUGGGUAGGGGGAGCUUGUCUUCUUGCCUCAGGCUGGGUGAAGUUCAGCUCAACUGAACCUCUGGAGUUUGGGGGAUGCAAUGGCUGGGGGAUAACUCCUGCCCAGGGAAACACAGAGGGCAAAACAGAUGGGCUGGCAAGCUGCUCCUUGGUGGGAAGGUGUGUGGGGAGGUGUUUCUAGGCACCAGUAUGAGCCAGCUUACUUCUGGAUCCAUGUGAAUGACAUUUCUUUUUUCCCUUUGCUUCAUCCCUCCACGUGCUCCAACCUGGGGGACCAUGGAGCACUGCUGGCAGGUCAAAAAAACCUUGAGGCUGGAGGUGAGCAACUUUCAAUUAGACCUGAGCCUUCCUACCUUAUUUUCGUUACCUGAGGCCCCAUGGACCUUCUUGGGACUUGU
Molecule: long non-coding RNA, 478 nt
Filed under: Pan troglodytes (chimpanzee)
Lineage: Eukaryota; Metazoa; Chordata; Mammalia; Primates; Hominidae
Description: long non-coding RNA NONPTRT017529
Source: RNAcentral